This 342-nucleotide ribosomal RNA is filed under the name Triticum aestivum (bread wheat). RNAcentral's name for it is "partial small subunit ribosomal RNA". Lineage: Eukaryota; Viridiplantae; Streptophyta; Magnoliopsida; Poales; Poaceae. The record is from RNAcentral.
AUGGAUGCGCCUAUGCAUGUCAAUUUUUCUAACGAGAUGAUUUCUGCUCUUGGGCUAGCGGAUAGGGUUGUGCUUGUUGUCGAUGCUGCUGAGGUCGGCAUGAAUUGGGAUAUGACCGCUUACACAUCCGGGACACAAGGGGCCGCCAUAGCUUGGUUUGUCUCUUUGGACUGCCACAGUGCCCAUCCGGGCGUCUUUGGAUCCUCGGCCAUGGGCCUUGCUGUCUAUGGAUCAUACGACACUGGUCAUGUUUCGCCACCUGUCUCUCAGGACAACCACCCCUAUGUUCGGUUCGGGAGGCACCGGAGGGAGCCGACAUGGUCAUCAUCAUUCCGUGAAUGA